Molecule: microRNA precursor, 191 nt
Organism: Oryza sativa Indica Group (long-grained rice)
Lineage: Eukaryota; Viridiplantae; Streptophyta; Magnoliopsida; Poales; Poaceae
Rfam family: MIR812 microRNA precursor family
Source: Rfam
AAAAAGACAAACACUGGAUUUCCGUGUCAAACGUUUGACUGUCCGUCUUAUAUGAUUUUUUUUUAUAAUUAGUAUUUUCAUUGUUAUUAGAUGAUAAAACAUGAUUAAUACUUUAUGCAUGACUUGUCUUUUAAUUUUUUUUAAAUACGGACGGUCAAAUGUUGGACACGGAAAUCAGGGUUUGUCUUUUU